GGGGUGAUUUAAGCAAUGUUCAAUACAAAGGUAUUUUGUUGCUUGUAGAAAGUCCAAGCUUCUAUUUUUUUUUUUUUUUUUUUUUUUUUUUUUAAUCCUUUACACAAAUUCAAUUAAAGAAUUACCCAAUUAUAUCUCUAGUGGUUGAAGGAAUUUAACCACUAGAGAGGAUAAUUAAAUUCCUUCAACCACUAGAAUUGGGCCCUCAACAAGGAAUUGAUAAGGAAGGGAAGUAAUAAUCAAUUUUGAAAAAGAGCUUGAUCUUUGAUGAAGAUCCUCAUAUAAUCAUAAUUUAAUUCUAAUUCUUAAAAUAAUUCUAACUAAAAAUCCUUCUACUUCACUCUAAAAUUCUUCAAGCUUCCUCUUCAAUACGAGUUCUUACACAACAACAAUCCACCACAAUACCAAGAGAUUGCACUAGCCGAAGAUAAAAACGAUUUACAAGCACACAACAAAUAAAUAAUUGCCUUUCAAGCAAUCCUAAGACUUAUAAGAUCUUCUUCUUGACAAACAUAUUAGAAUAUAAGCUAAAUAAACCUCCACAAGUUGGAAGUUUAUUCUAAUUCACAAUUAGUAAAUAAACUUGUGAACUUUAAUAGUUAUAGCUAUUAAUCAAAUUCUAAUCAAAUCUCUAAUUAUUCUUUUUAACUAAUUCAAGCAAUUAAGACAAAAAUUCUAUAACUAAUUUACCUUCAAAAUAAUAAAUUCUUCAUCCAUUUAAUAUCAUAAAAAAAAUCUUUAUUUAAAUAUAUAUAUAUAUAUAUAUUAUUUUUAUCUUUUAUUAUUACUAUCAUUAUUAUUUUAUUAAUUUUAACUAAUAUUCAUCUAUUAAUAAAAAAUCAUCCUUAAAUAAUUAUUCAUUUAUAUAAUUCAUCCAUGGUUAAAAAUUCAUCUUUGAUUGAAAUUCCAUCUAUGCAAUUUAUCCAAAUCCUUAUUUAUCUAAACCCUGAAUCCAUUCUUCCUAAAUUCUCACCAAAUAGAGAAAUUCGCUGCAGCGUGUUGCACUUGGUUCCAGCUCAACCGCCGAGGUAGCUCAAGGUUGCUGUUCCGUUGCCGAUUCCCAACAUCAAACAAAAGAACCCUUCACCAUGCCGCUUGGAACUUCACCAUGCUCGAUUAACUCGCUCACAAUCUUCUCCUCACAUCUAGGUGUAGCGAGUCACGAUGCGAAUUUAGGCUCAAUGAUGACCAAGUGCCUACAAUUCACCAUGCACCUUCUCCUAUCCUCAGAAGCCCUUAGCCCAAGCUCUUUCCAAAACGUGGUACCCACACGUUCUGCUUGUAGGAAUCACGACUCUGAAUGUUCCACAAUAAUCUUCCCACUGAGUAUUUCAAAUGCAUGUCCUCGAGCCUCCCUAUGAACCUUCAUCUUAAAAGCAGAAAGUAUUUGAAAAUGCUCUCAAAUUUUGUGUCUUCGAAGCGGAUUUGAGAAUAAUUGGUAAGAGCCUACAAUUCACCGAGCAUUGAUGCCACCACAAUCUGAACUGUAGUCAACCCAAAUUCAGAAUAGGAUGAAAACGCUACUUGAAGGCACCCAAGAACCACCGCCGUUGUAUGCCAUGUUGAGUUAACUUUCCUAGACAACGACUCUCAGAACCAGCACUUUUUAGCAUGCCAAACAACGACUCAUGUUGCCAUUUAAAAAUCAAUCCAAUGCAACUUCCUUGUGCCCAAAUAGGCUCUUCCAAUUAGAGCCAAGGAAGGAGAAAAACAUACAAAAAGUUGUCAACAGUGGCAGUGGUCACCACACAUCAGAUCUGACCGUCAACGUCCCCACUGAUACCAGCUGCAUACAUUGGAACCUCCACUUGAUUCUUUAUCGAUACAAUUGUCGAUUCACAAAUAGAAGUGAUGGCUCUAGCCUUGUUGCUCCAACUCGAGGAAAAAAUAAAAACUUCUCCACCUCCAGAUCCCAAAGCGUUCAGCAUCCAGGAAAAUGAAAAUGGAACAACCAUUCAAUCCGCCGUUGGACCUCUUUACUGCCACUAAAUUGUCAGCUCCUUCCUCGCAUAGAAGAAAGAACAAAACAACCACAUCUGAUUGCAGCAGUACCGUCGCAUUGAGCUUUGAUCUCUCACCACAUCAACCACAUAUGUAAGGGAGUAUUCAGGUACAGGAACCCGCCGCAUUAUACAAUGCCGCAAAACUACAUUUUCUCCUUUAGAAUAAUGCUACAGUGUCACGGUCAUCUCUACCGGUGAUGCAAUUGCAUGGAUCAGGAACAGAUAACAAAAAACCAAAAAAAAUAAUUAAGACCAACUUCUAAAUUCCAACUUCCCGUUGAUCAUUGAACAAUAGAAGAAGAUGUUACACCACAGCACCUCCACGGAACACAGGGCACAAGAAAAAUUUGAAUAACACCAACGUCCACGCAUCCGACAACAGAUGGAAGGUCUUCAACACCGUCGCCAACCCUCGCAUGCCAAGCACUGUCGCCUACUUGGAUCGUCUGCAACAUUAAAAAAAAAAAAAAAAAAAAAAAAAAAACAAAGCACAGCACAGCAACGGAGAACAGCCUGCACCGCUAGACCACAAUCACCAAGGGAGAGAGAGUUUUCCGCCUCAAACUACAGCUAAACCCACAUCGCCGCAAAUCAGAACCAGCGAAGGUGUCCUCCAAGGAGCGCCGCUGCAACUCCUUCGUUACGGAAGGCGUGAGUAUUUUGUGUUUCAACGCCUCGAGCCCAACUGCAAUCGCACAACCGUACAGGAGGGGGAAAAACGCCUUUAAAAGAAAGAAAACAAGAAAAAUAAAAAUAGAAAAAUAGAAGACCGGGAUCAGAGGCGGCCCAAACUCCUAUCGGCAAUGAGGCUGCCGCCGUUCAUGGGCAGCCUCUCGCCUUCUUGAUUAUAUAUAUAUAUAUAUAUAUAUUUCUUUUCUUUUUUCUUUUCUUUUUCUUUUCUGUCCUUUUCUUCUUCCAUCCUGAUUUCUUUCCCUUCUCCUUUUUUAUUUUUCUUUCUUUCUCUUCUCUAUUCUUCUUUCUACUCUCUAUUCUUCUUUCUACUCUCUAAUGAUCUUUUUAUUUAUUUUAUUUUAUUUUAUUCUAUGUUUAUUUUUUAUAUAAUCUAUAUAUAUAUAUAUAUAUAUAUAUUUUUUAAGAAAUAUUAAUAAAAUAAAGUUUCUUUUUCUUUUUGAUAUUAAGACUACCUUUGGUCCUUCUUUUAAUAUUAGCUGACUAAAAACAUAUAUUUUUUAUAGAAUUUUUCUUACUAAACUCUAUCUUAGGUUGUAUGUUUGCUAUUGGUAAUUUAUUUUUUAUUUUUUCCUAAAAUUCCACUAUUAAUUCACAAAAUCUAUAAAUUUAAGUACAAUAAGUACUUUUUUUAUCCUAAAUAUCCAAAUGAGUCAAUUCAAUGAUUCACACAACUAUAAGAUGUAAUAAAGGUAUAGCUUGAUAAACAAUUUGUUCUUCUUUAUUAGUCAAACCUCCUUCUCAAUCAUAAUAUUUCAAGUGUGUAAGGCAUUUUGAUGAUAAAAGACUUGGAAUUUUUAAAGUAUUUUUUUUCUUAUCUCUAUUUUUUUUUUUAAAAAAAAUGAUUAGAUUAUUUUUAGUCCAAUUUUAUUUAGACUUUGCUUGUAUAAUCCAUGGUCGACCUAAUAAUAUGGAAUAGCUUUGAGUUUUCUUUUCCAUUUUCAAAACUAUUACUAUAAUGUAAAUUUUCCUACUUACAUUUGUAAAUCUCUAAUAAUUCCUAUUAGAUUCACUUUUUAUUGAUCAACCAUUUUUAUUGUAAAAGGUAUUGGUUCAAUCUUAUUAUAAUUCAAUUUUUUUCAUAAUUCACUUGUGAUAAUAUUCACUCUUAAAUCUCCAUCUAACAAUACAUAUAUAAUUUGUUGCUUAAUUUUAAUAAUUAUUAUGGAAAUUUUUGUAUCAUAAUCUUGACUUACAAUAUAAGCUUUUGAUAUACUUGAUUCAAAUUUAUUUUUAGGAAGAAAUGCUUGUAUCACCUUUUUUUUGUAAUAUGAAGCUAGCUCCAAUAAUUGUCCAAUAGAUAUAUUUGCUUUUGUCUGUUGAAAUACAUCUCUAAUUAUUUUUUCAAUCUUUUCUUUUUUAUUGCUCUUCUUCUUUUAAUAUUUUGACUUACUAAUAUUUCUUCAAUAUUUUUAAGUAAAUUUUCUUCUAAAAUUAAAAUUUUUCUAAAUUCUUUUUGUAAUUAUUAUACUUCUUCAAUUACAUCUUUAUAUAUUCUUCUUUUAUUAGCCCAUUCUUGUGAUAUUUUUAUUGUAAUUUAUUUGAGUUUAAAAACUCAAGUUGGUUUCUACUUUCAUCUUCAAUGUCUUCAUCACUACUACUAUUGCUUAUUAUUACAUUCUCAAUUUUUGUUUUAUCUCUUUGAACUUAAGUUAUUACACAAACUUUUGAAAUUAUUACAUUUGUGGCUACAACUAGUUGUCAUUGUAUUUGUGCUUCUCUAGCUUCUUUUUGAUGUUUAAGCCAUAGAAGACAAUCUAUUUUUAUAUGUCUAUUUUGAUGGCAAUAAUAACACUCAAGAUUACCCCCUCGUGCUUGAUUUACAUAACUUUUUUUUGGUGAAUUUAUAUUUUUGUCUCUUUCAUAUCUUAGUUGUAAUCUAUCCUCAUAAUAGUUGAAUCUAUAUCCUUCUCUAUAAGGAUAUCUUUCUUCUCCUCUAUAAGUGUUAUUUCUCAUUGUAUCUUCUUUCAUGUAAUAUUUUUGAUUCAAGGAUCCAUGACUUCUAUCUUGAUUUAUAGGUAAAUUUUUUCUCAUAGGUUUUCUUUUUCUCAUAUUAUUUAAUUGUAGUUGUACUUGAUGAACUUCUAAACUUCUAUCUCUAUAUUGUCAAUUUUUAAUACAAUCAUUAGUUUGGUAUGUAUGUAUAUUAUAAUUUGUACAAAAUUUCAUAUGACACUCAAAAAGAAAAUGUCCUUCAUUAUUGUACUUCCUACAAAUAACAUCUACUCUAAAUUUCUUUGAUCCAAUACUUAAUUGAAUCAUUUCUUCUUUUAUUUUCCUUAAAUUUUCUUUAGUAGUCUUUUUUCUUUUUUUCUAUUUUUCUUCCUUUCUUCUUGAUCUAAAUCUUCAUUUGAAUCUUUAGAUUUUGUAUUAUAAGAUCUUUCUUUCCUAUGUAUACUUAGUUCAACUUUUUUUACUCAUUUUAGAGCUUCUUCCAAAGUAUCUAUUGAUAAUAAAGCUAUAUGUUUUCUUAUUUUUUUCUUUAAUCCAUUUAAGAACCAUGUUUUUUUAAAUAGGUCAUGGAGUUCAGGAAUAUGUUUAUUAGCUACCAAUAUUACUCUUUCAAAGAAUUCUUCUACAUCCUCUCCUUUCUUAUGUUUGAGAUGUGAAAGAUUAUCAAUGACUUUUCUAUCACUCUUUUUUUCUUUGAAACAAAUAAUAAAUGUAUUUCUAAGAUUUUUCUAAGAAGUAAAAGGUCCUAUAAAAUAAUAAGUAUAUAAUUCAAGUACCCUUUUUUUAAGUAUUACUGAAAAAAAUGCUAAUUUGUCUUUAUCUCUUGUUUCUUUGUUAGCUUGACAAAUAUUAUUAAAUUCUCUAAUGUAAAUAUCUAUAUUUCCUUUGCCUUUAAACUUAGGCAAUCUUGUUUUAAUAUGUCUGAUAGUUAAUGCCAUAUUAGUUUUUUUUUUUUUUUUAUUGUAAUGAUGUAGGUAAAUUAAAAAAUUGUAUUAAAAGUUGUCUUGGUUCUAUAUUUGAAUAUAAUUUCCUUGUAAAUUCUUAUAUAAUUGAAGAACAUCUUCCUUCUUCUUUUAUAUCAUCUCUACUAUUAGAACUUAAAACUUCUAUUAAGUUCUUCAACUUAAGUUCUCCAAAAGAAUUUUUUCUUCUAUUAUAACAUUCUUUUUUUUUGAUAUUUUACAUAUUAAUUCUUUCUCUUCUUUCUUCUUCUUCUUUUUUGCUUAAAUAUUUUAUAAAUAUGUUGUCAUUGAGCAGCUUAUUUCCUUGGAAUUUUUGGACUUUUAAAAAGUCUAGUUUCUUGGCUCAUUACUUAAUGUAGUAUUUAACUUUUAUUUUGUGAUUUCUUGAUUACUAAUAUUUCUCUUCAUACAAUAUUCCUUCAUGUAGAUCUCUCUUCAAUAUAUAGCUUAUUUUUAUCUUUUUUGACUAAUAUUAGAUAUUAUUUCUUUCUUCUUUUGUCCUAUUUGCAUAAUGCUUUUGAUUUAAACGGAAAUAUAGAAUUUUUCUAUACCAUCUUUAUUUAUGGUUCUUAAUACUUCUCAUAAAGUUGGUAAGUUCUAUUUAGAAACAUCACUCAUUCUUACUAAAUCAUCUCUGAUAAUUUUAUAAAUUUUAUAAACUUAAUUAUCAAAGCUAGGAGCAUAUUCCCAGCAUGGUCGCCAAAUGAACACCUAGAGUCUUGCACCUUAAGAAUCUCAAGUAUCCCUUUUAUAUUUCUAUAAAGGAAUUAUCCCUGUACUUAUUUUAAUUCUCCAUAGUUCUUGGUUUUAUUAUAAUCAAACAAUUCAACCUUAAAACCAUCUUCAAUUUAUAUGCUAAUAUUAUCUCAUCUUCUUUAACCUAUUCUUCACACAUCUAUACCUUCAUUAUCUUCAUCUUUGUCUUUGUCUUCUUCAACCUCAUCUUUAUAAAUCUAUAUCUUCAUCAAUUUCAUUUUGUCUAUAUCUUUCUUUUCUUUUUUUAUAUUAGUCUAUUUCCUUCAUAUUUUUCUACAAUACAUCUCUUUAAUAAAAUAAUAUCUUUAUUAAUUGUAAUUUGUAACAUUAACAUUAUGCUACUCUUAUAAUAAGAUACUCUCAUAAGAAAUUCUAAUAACUUUUCUUUCUUGAUUUACCAACCUCUUAUAAGUACAUUUUUUCAUUUUCUUCACACCAUGUUUUAUACUCACUCUAAGCAUAAAAUAAAAAACACUAACACACAUGGCCUCUGCCUCCUAUAUUGAUUCUUUGAACUAAGUUCAACAUAAGGAAAACUAGUCUUUAGAUCAAAACUGCUAUGAUUUCAUAUUAAUACUUCAUUGUAGUUUGUCAAGGUAAGAGAUAAAUUUAGCUAGCAAAGCCAUGAGUAUAUACACAGACAAUGAAUGCACUCAGCUACCAUCCUUCAUUAAGUGUAGUAACCCUAAUUAGAUAAGCAUACACCUAGUAUGUUUAGACUUAAUGGAUACAUGUAUUUUAUACUAACAUACAAGAAGUCAAAGAAGAAAACGGAGGAGAACAGGACUUGGGGAAAACUCAGUUCCUACUUAUCAGCCUGCAACUCAUCUGCCUUCUAUCACCACAGAAGUUCCUCAAUCCGUCUUGAGUCAGUCUUGUGGAGAUGUCAUUUGAGCGGCCAACCUUGGGAAGGCCUCUAAAGGAGCUUCCCGAGUUAUUUUUCAGAAAGUAAAAGAGCAAUGUAGGUUGUGCAUGAGCAUUUGCUCUACACCUUUGAAAGCUAUUGGAAAAGGAAGAUAAUGGAAAGAAGAAUGACAAUGAACAAUGGUUCAAGUCUCAAUGUGAACCUGGCAAGACAGCUGAAGCUAGGGAGAAAAAGUUAGAGAUUAUGAGAAGGGCUUUUAGGGUAGAGGUUGUCGAUCUGACUGGUAUCUCCACAUUGUUCGGAUCAACAUCAGGUGUAGUUGCCCGAUUUGUUGUGGACUACGGAAAAACCCGGCUAGGUUGUUCUGUUCAUUCACUCGAGCAGCUUUGGCCACACACACCGGUAUGACCUUACCUCGGUAACAAUGCUACUGCAAACAAAAGGUUUCUCCAAGCUGGAAGAAAGUAAUGGAGUGCAAGUAGGAAGAUGAGAAUGGUUACUCUCAUACCAGUUUUUAUGACUAGUACUCAUUGCUUUGUAAAUUCACUUGCUGCUUUACAAAAAUCUCAUGUUUCGUUGAGACAUUUCCUCUUUAGUUUGCGACAAGGUUUUUCCCAUUUGCACAUUAGAAACCUUGUGCACAUCCAAGUAAUAACAUUGUGUGCUUGUUCAGGUUUUUGGAGAAUUUCAUCAAUUAUGAAGAAGUGGAGCUCCUGUUGGAUGCUAUUCUGGUUAUUCCUGGUCCUUUUCAUGCGCUUGCUGUAGGUAUUCACGUACCAAGGAUGGCUGUUCCAGGUUCUGGCCCGAGUCAUCCUCCAUUAUCACCAAGCCCAGCCUCAGCCGCAGCUGCGAGGCAUGGAGUAAGUUUUUCAGGGCCAAUGAUAAACCCUCACGGUCCCUCUGGUGCUGCAUUGAGUCCUGCAGCAAGGCAAGUGGCAAGUACUCUCAUCUAAUGCUAUUGUGAACUUUACGAGCAGUAACAGAGUUCCAGUCGUUCCUCAAGGAGCCAUACUUUCAAUUCACUAGAGAUCAAUGAAUCUGGUAAGUCUCCAUCAUCAACUCUCAGUUGUAAUACUAGCUCGACUUCGUCAGAUGUCUCCUGGUUUCUAGACUCAGGAGCCACAGCAUGUCACUGGAAACUCAGACAUUAUAAUCAAUCUACGUCCCAACAACUCCGCCCUCAUGAUUGCUGCGGGAGGAGAGUCACUCAGCAUAUCUGGCAAGGUAGCGCUUUUGUUUGAUUUCCAAAGGAUGUUCUGUACGUACCUAGCAUAAGACGUAAUCUUCUUUCAGUUGGAUGCAUAGCAGAUAAUGGCUUUCACGUUGAAUUUAUGAAAACAGUCUGCAUCACAAGGAAAGCCAACUCCCAAAUUAUACUUGGUAAAGAAUAUAGAAUGGCCACACAAGGAUUAUAUAGACUAGAUGCUCACAGCAUUAUUCAGCCUGAAGUCUACACAUCGGAACAGAUGCAUCAGAUAGAUCAAUCUAUUCUAUGGCAUAGACGUCUCGGUCACUUAAACUUCCACUCAUUGCACGAACUCUCAAUAUCAGGAGCAGUAUCAGGACUACCGAAACUGGCUGAGGUCAGCACCGUGUAUGACAUCUGUCAACUAGGAAAACAAGCGAGAAAAAAAUUUCAUCACAGCACUUCGAUCUCUACUACACCCCUUCAAUUUGUUCACAGCGAUGUAUGUGGACCAUUUUGACACCCAGCAUACAAUGGGACACGAUAUUUUCUGACAUUUAUCGAUGACUAUAGUUGGUGACCAAGUAUGGCUGCAGCUAGUUCCGCCUCCAAGGAAAGGAGGCAAUAUUUGUGGAGGCAUUUUACCCUGCCCCCAAUUUCGCACCUUUGUUGUGGAACAUGUGGUCGUGGUUAUGAACAGUGCAGAUAUCGUUGGUGUAGGAACCGCUGGGUCUAACUCCCCUAAUGCAGGGGGCAAAAUUGACACUCGUCAAGUGGGAUCUGUAGUUAACCGUCAAGGCUACAACGCCAGAACCCCUAUUCAAGGAAGCUCAGCAAUUCUGCAAGCAUGGGAAGUGCCAUUUUCAAUCGAGUGGAGUGAACCCAACUGAUGUUGGGAUGGGUAACGAUGGGGGUUGUGGAGGUGUAUGGGUACCACUGGCAGCACCAGAGAAGGUUUUUCGAAGCAUGUUUCGCUACCUAAGCGGAUAUGGUUGUUCGCACAGUUACCAACCAUUCUGAAAGAGGUGCUAGCUUCCUCCCUGAAUCAGAAUGAGGGUGCGCUGCUUAAUUUAUGAUUCAGAGCAAACAGCCUUACGGUUUUAUAUCAGGAAAUGUUUACUCAGUUUCGAGCAAAUUUCCGAGAUGAGAGUUAUGCAUGAAAAAUGCAGCAGGAUUCGAAGACUCAUAGCACCAGCAAAUCAACAUUCCCUCUCACGAAUACUAUGGGAAUUUACAGUCUUCCUUGUAGUGCAGUGUCUAUGUAUUUUCCUCACUUUCAAAGUAUUAUUAUUGACUAGUUAUUAGUACCAUGAAGCAUGUCAGCGUUCUCUAUUAAAAAAAUAUAUCUAUAUUUUAAUGAGAGAGUUUACUAGCAGCUCUAACACAUAUUUUAUCUGCUGCAGAAAUGCAAGAUAUUGGUGAUAUUAUUGCACAGAGGGUAGCCUCAGAACCCUACGAUGCAUCUCGCUUAGCUUUUUUUGUGACCAUGCUGACCCUCCCUGUAGCAGUCCUUCGGAAAUUCCUACCUCUCAUCCGAAUUUUUGACAAAGGAUAUUAAUACCAGAUUAUGUUCCUCCAGCUCUAUGAUCGUAAGUGUACUGACGUUGGCCAACUGUUGAGACUACUCUUCAAAAAUUAAUGAAGAAAUUAUCGUCGGGUAACAAUUAUCUUAAGCACAACCCUUCCAUGAUUUCCGCAUUUUUUGAGACUUCUAAUAUCGUCCUUGUCCAGGUUCUGUGAUGGUAACUGGAGGCACUGUUGAUGAUCAAGGUGCCUCCCCUCGUCUACAUGUGGAGCUCAGCCAUGAAUUCCAAGCUAGAAAUGUUUGAGUCGAACUAGUGACGGGCACAGAGAUGAAUUGAGUGCUGCUGGGACCUCUCAUUGUAAAAGCAACAAUGUACAUAACCAUCAUCGAGACACCGUUGUAUUCACCCUCACGUUCUCCAUCGACGCCUCCUCGCUACCGUACUUAAAUGUGGCUGGCGGAGCGGGGUGGUUGCCUCCAGCAGUUGCGAUUUACAUACCUCUACGGAGAUCAGACCUGACGAAUCAUAUUGUCAAGUAUGCAUGGAAGCCUCGCGGGGCGCUGUAGAAAUUUCAUUAUUAUAUUAUAUAAAUGAUUAACAUGUGUCCUUAUACAAGGAAGGUGACGCUCUUUCAGAAGAGUCUCAACCCUAGAAUGUAUAACUACACAAUUCUAUCAAAGGACACAGUCAGUGUAAUACUAGUGUGCUAUACUGAUACUUAUAAAUGUAUCCAACAGGCGCUCUUGAGGUCCCGACCUGAGAAUUGGGAGAGAUGCAAAGAAAGUGUGACCCGGGCCGUCCAGGUUCCGCUGGGGCAGGGCUAAGGACGUUUUAUAAUCUUAGCUGAGCAAGUUCUUAUGGCACUGACGCAGUGUGGUAAAGGAGCUCUCCAACAGCACCAUGUUCUUCUCUAAGUCCCUCAUCUUUACGGUGCUCCUAACUCAGAUUGAGCACUUUGUUGUUCAAGAUCAUGGUUUCAUCCUGGGAAAGCAUGGACAUUUCAGGGUUUCUCGCAGCUCUAAUUAAAGACAAGUGUUGAUUGAUCACCAAACAAUUAGUAGAGGGCUAGCUAGCGACACAGGAAGGCUGUGACAUAAUGGCCUUAGUGCAUUACUUCCUCCCCUCAUGCUCUUGAUUUCACAGUAAUAUUCCAUUUGCUCCGAUAUUAAGUUACCACGGUUUAGGGUAAAAGCUACCAUCAGCUCCAUGUGCUUCAUAGACAUUCAUUUCGUGCUUACUAGCAAGCCUGCCUCUUAUAAUGGAGUAAAUACACUCACUGACAUGCUUGUGCUCCCCAAUUUUUAAAGAAGAUAUUUACUUAGUCUAGUCGUAUCAAGAGUCAUUAGGGUACUCUUCUAAUGCAAAGCUACAGUAGACUUCACUGCUCAUCCAGAAUAUUUCUCUAGGCGCCACAUGAAGUUGAUCGAUCAGCUCUGAAGAGCAAUAUGAUGAUUGAACACCACAAGUAAUUAAGACCAUUUCUACACAAGGUACAAGAUGAAAGCGGUCUGCAACCUACAUGUCUUCAAUUUGGCGCCGCUUGUCAUGCUUAUGUACAGGAUUACCAUUUCUUCAUUAAAUCAGAGAGCCCGAACACUGAAUUUCCAUCACGACAGCAUUCUAUGCUUCAAUUUGGCUGCAAAAAAUGAAGCAUCACAUCAGUGACUCAACCCCGAUGCAACUGCAAAUGUGAGCAUAAUCUUAAUCCACGAAGGGUCAUUGUGCAAAUAAACCAUCUAAGGGAUGAUAAGAAAGUAGGAUGAAAGUUUUACAUUUGAGAAUUGAAAAGUUGUGGGAACCCGUUUCUCGUGGUACAUCAGCUUUGUGCCAAUCACUGAUCUGCGAGCUGGUUGUCGGAAGAGGACGCGCUUCAGAGUCUUGCAAAUGGAUAACUGUUGAUUCAUCCAACAAUGCGCAAGCAAUAAGAUUAGCAUUGAAAAUGGAGCUGAUUCAGCGAUGUUAACGGAAGAAUUUAGGAUGAGCUCAGACAACAGAGUUGUGAGCUCAUCGAAAACGAAUGAAAUCCGAAAGAGCAAUAGUUUGUGAACUCACGAUGAAUUGAACACGUCGGUGUGGUUUUGGACUCGACCAUGAAGACAAUGGCAGGGCGCGAGACGACUUGUGCCGCCUGGACACAAGAUUCACAGUCGGAGACAGCAUCUCUAGAGUUGCUGCAUACGCUGGAGGAGGACAAUACUCCUCUCGGUGGCUGGAGGUCCAGCACUUAUCCAACUGAGUGGGAGAUACAAUAUUCAUGUACAUUCUGGAGUUGCUAUAAUCCCUUCCGCGAGAAUUUGCUUCCAGCUUUCCGACUAAGUUGCGAGUGUGUCGUGUUGCUAACUCCUGCUCUUCAACACUUGGCAUUCUAUAUGGCAGCCUGGUGGGCCGUUUCGGAGAGGCUUCAGGACUUGUGUCGUAAGUGUCAAAUGUACAAUCUUGCAAGGGUAUAGGUUCCCCGUUUGAGUUGAGGUAUCCGCUUGAAGUGGGCGCACCCUGCUUGUCGAGAAGGCCGUUCGAUAUCGCCGCCUCGGUCACGUCCAGGCGCUGGAAGUACGUUGCUAGUGUGGGGGCCCAAACCUCGGGACUGUAGAGAGAACCUAGCCUCUUCCGGUUGGAUUUCGAUUUUCUGAGGCAUUUUCCAUGGGAUUUGCAGAGCUUGAGCAGGCUCUUGACGCACUCCGAUCUGUGGGCAUUGGAUCUUUUUCCUUGGAAGGUCACCUUUGCAGAAGGACCAAAGUUCGGAACUAUAGGCGAUUCUGAAUAGCCCAUAGAGGUUUGAGAGUCAAACGAGUGGGACUUAGUUAUAUAUGAAGGGCUUACAGUAUUAUCGUGAUCGUGGUCGGGGGCGAAGUCCUCUUCAAUUGAUUCAUACGAUGCGCUGGAGCUCGAUUUGGAGCCAGCCAUGCUAGGCGUAGACGCGCCAAAAUCACAGCUUAAAUAUGUGCGAGACGAUGAGGACUGGCGACCGCUGUGGAGAAUGCUGGUAGGAUCCGAACAGGAAUGGCUAGAACCAGAUCGAUGCAUCCAUGGAUGAGAGGCCUUGAGCUCGGAGCUCAAGAGCUUGCGAGGCUUAAGGUUAAGAGGCGAGUCAGUGGAUGUCAAUGGCUGCGAUAAUGGCUUGUUGAUCUUUCGCGGAUUGACGCUUCGAUCGCUGGAUUUAGAAGAAACGGACUCCUGGUUGCCGGCGUACGCAUAGCCAUGGUGAGCCUGCGAUUGCUUCGGCAGCGAGCUCUUGGUGGCGCGGUACUGAUGCAUCCAUGUGGGAUCCUGCUGCUGCAAUCGAGAUGGUGAGGAAGUGGCCGUCAUGCAAGGAAACAAUCCUCCGAGAGAGUGAGAAGCGACUGAAACGCGAAGCUCCCUGGCGAAAUUGGACUUGGUGGUGCGAUGCAUGUGGACAGCCAGACGCGGAGGAAGUUGUAAGGUUUCUGGCUUACUUUUGCCUGCUGUCUCAUCCACCUUGGCCUUGCCCGGAGUGUCUUCCCACUUGAAUGGGACUGCAACAGAAGGCGGCGAAGCAUUGUGAUGAUUGGCGCUAGUAUACAAUGACGACUCCGAUGUCUCUAUUAAAAACUUUGCCGCAGAAGGAGCAACGAGAUCGAUGUGCGCCUCUUUCUCAUAGAUGCUGCAUCGCGUGCUGGAGAUUCGCCAAAUUCUAGAAUCGCCUGAAUUUCUUUGGACAUGGCCAGCUCUACCGUGAAAUCUCUCGCUGGCAGUUACUCUGUGUGAUGAUGAAUGCGCAACUUUGUGGGGGUGGUCAUUGGUUGAUACCUCCCCUUCUCUUGCAGAUGUUCGUUGAGAACUUGAUAUCGGCGACUUGUCUUCCACAAAGCAGUUGAGCUCGAUUCCAUCUCUUGAUAACUUCCGGGCCAACGCUCGCUGCGCUGCUGCUGCAAUGCUUUUCGGUUUGUCAAGCUGCUCAUCCCACUUACAGGGGACGGAAGCAGCUAGAUCGUGAUGUUUACGUCCAUCUACGUGAUCAUGUGGUGGAGUCUGGAGUGGUCCUUGCUCGACAUUCUUUGGGUUAGAUGGUGUCGACAGAAGCUCACGAAUAGUGCUUUUAGGUUUCACAUCGCUGUCUAGGAACCUACAUUGCGCAGUCUGUAUUUUUUCAACCUCCCUUUCAGACUCUUGAAGCACCGAAGCACGGCAAGCCUUCCUUGAGCUGGACUCCUGAUGAUAUUCUUUUCCCUGCGAACUUGAAUCUUUGAGAUUCUCGUGCAUUUUCUUGUGCUUGAACGCAGCCUCGGUCGCUGGGAUUGUUCUGUCUCCAUGACGAAAGCUACAGCUUCCUGAAUUUCUCUUGUUUGCGUAGUGUUUCUCAAGUUGCCUACAAGGUUUCAGAAAUGCAAAUUGAGAUUGUCUAGCAAUAAGUUCGUCAACUCGCUGUGCAAGCACGUCGAAAUUGCUAUCCUCGUCUUGUGCUGACAAGUGCUCCUCGCUGCGAUGUUCCUCAAGAGAAUUUAGCGCUUUGUUCUCCACAUCGCAAUGUCCUUCUACUGAAACUCCGCACCGGAAGCCGCUCAACCAGCUCGAUUGCUGACCAUGGUGAACGACCGGCCAACCUGCAUCGAUUUGUCCUGUGCCAUGGCUUACAUAAACGUCUCCCUUUUCUUGAGGUCGCAGAGGGGCCUCAUUGCUAAUAAUAUGCGAUCUCAUGGCUUCCAAUUCUCAGUUACUAUCAUCAGUCCGCAAAUUACCUGGCGACGAACUACCUUCAUCAACUGCCGCAACUACUGAUCCCAGCUCACUUCCUUAUCAACGCCAUCCCGCUGUGCUCUCUUACGUUCAACUAACCCCCCAGCAGAAUGCUCCGGAAUAGAGAGCUAUCGAACUCACGCGCAACAGUAGCAAAACGCAACGCCAUAGCCGGUAUUGCCAGGAGCUAGCGCAAUAUCGCAUCCAUGACAUAGAUUUUCAGGAGUUGGUGCUGGUUCAGAGUGCGGAUUAUGAAGGUGUGCUGCCAGUGUAACUAAAUCAGGAUCGUUCACGGUGCACAAAACAAUCACAAACGGCCGCUGUAAAGCUACGUCGCAACUUGAUUCCAACGCUCUCAUCCUCGAACUCAAUUGAGACAGAAUCAUUCAACCAGGCUAGCGCAGCAUGAACUCCAAAUCAUUCAACUCCCGCAAGCGUUGAGAUUUCUUCAGCUGUAGGCUCACAACACAAUCAUCAAGACGCUCCUCGUCAAGUGAAUGAUGCCACUGAAUAAUAGGUACUCUCACACGUGAGAGCAUUUCCGUCGUGCACCACAGCAAGAAGCCAAGUACGGAACUUACCCGCUACAAUCAAAACUCUCAUAACCUUAAGCUUCAUUCUACUCUUCUAACUCCGCAAAAAGAAUGCGUUGGCAAUCAGAUGAGCUAUUUCUGCUCGCUAACAUGACGAUACCCUACGCUAACGAGAGGCAUCCCAGCUAUCAAGCUGACUAGGCUACUUGAUGUGUGCUUAAUGAAACAAUCCGGCAUCGCAAGCUAUGAAACUGUAAUGAUAUCUCAUGUGCUUGGACUGUUCGGCAGCUAAAAACUCGAGCAGCGUCUGAUAAUCUAAGUGGCGAAAAACAGAAUGAAGAGGUAGAUCUCCUAUCGGUUUCUAUGUGUAGUUCUCCUCAAUCAUCCAAGCCAAGGGCACACUAAUCAAGAGACAUAGACAGAGGAAUCUCCUGGUCUUCUACAGGUUAUAAGCCUAACACGAUCUAGUUAACUAUCGGAGUGACAAAUUAACGCACUGCGCAUCACCUGGUCAAAAGUAGGAUUAUGGAGGAUACGUUUGUUUUGUAGCUGUAGGGGGGGUACUGGUUGUCGUCAUGCAGUCGCAGUUGGAGCUAGUAUCAACCAACCCGCCAACGGAACGCUCGAGCCACAAGACCGAUGGACGAGUCUCGAGAGAGAGAUGGCUGCAACCUCGAACCGGCUGAAAGGAUUGAUGUGACGAUGCGCUGCUGCAACUGUCUGCAUCCCCCUUGAAUGUAGGCCCCGCCAGGUGCUCUGUGAGGGGACUCUCGAAGAAUCCAACGCUCGCUGUGUCCCGUAUCCUGCUGUCAGGCGGCGAGUGGAUCCGAUCGCCCUCGCCCUUCCGCGAUUUCCCAAUUAUCCCAUCGCGAUUGAUAUGAGCUGCGUCCAUCCUGGCAACAGAACCUUUUUCACACCGCAACUUGGGACUUCCUGCUCCAUUGCAAUGAUUCAUUCCUCAAGUUCAGGGUUUAUCAGCUCCCGUUUGCUUUACCCUAACCCCAAGCAAACACACAAAUAAGAAUGUAAGUCACAUCAAAUGACACAAUGUUACAUAUGUAUUCAAAUAGAUAUUGAUUCAUGGUCUCUUCAAUCUCACACACCACAAGCACAAAUCCCUUGUUGAAAAUUUUGGACAUCCAAAUGGAUCAAAAGUGGUGCACCAAUUAUUCAGAAAACCUUAAUUAUUAUUAUUUCUUCUUCUUCUUCUUCUUCUUCUUCUAUUUUCAAUUAAUGUACAUUCAGUUUUGUAAUACAUUUUCAUAAGCAAUGUUAUUAUUGAACUUUCAAUGCAUUUCUAUUGUUUGAGACCAUUUGCUUAAUUGAUAUGUUUUUGGCUUGUUUUAUACAUACAGAAAGAGAGUACCAGCAUGUAAGGAUCAUUGUGUGAGUUCUGCAGUACAGCAGUGGAUACCAUGAACACAUACUUAAUAUUCUGUAGCCCUUGAGACUCCCUAAACCCAGAGGCACAACUUCCUGCAUUAGAGACAUUGCAGGACCAAGCAUUCAGCCAUGCCUUGGUACCACUGUGUGCAGCCCAUCAAUGGCUCUCUCUUGGCUCUGCCCUUUUUUUUAGUUAGCACACUCCAUACAAACUCUAAACCUAAAACCCAGCUAGAAUGGUUGGAAGAAUAAAAUGUUAUUCUAUUCUUUUUCUUAAUAAAUUAUACUAAACAGACUGUCUGCAUCUUCUACCUUUAUUUACUUCUAAAUUUUUUCCAGACAAACAAAAUAAAUGAAAAUUGAAGACAAAAGUGUUUUUCAGUAAACUCAUGCGGAGGCUUUGAUCUUUUUGUGGAUUGACAAGACAUGAUUUGCCUUGUGUUGUCAGGAGUACCUUUAUACAUAUACAAUAUAGUACAUGAUGCCGUUAAAGAAACCAUUUAUAUCAUGUUGAAAAUAAUACAGCGUCCUUACCAUGGCAGUGGCAUUAUGGACUUAAGAUUUUUACCAUUAAAAUAAUCACUUACAGUACUUUAGGUUCAAAUAAAAAGGCAGGUUGAUUAAGUGAGUUUUUAUGAUUUGAGUCAACACAUCCACCUAGAAUUUUUUUUAAAUGAAGUAAAAAAGAAAUACUUUUUAGAAAAAAAAAGUAUAUAUAUAUAUAUAUCUAUAUGUGUGUGUGUGUGUUAUAAAGACAAGGAAGGAACAAUGACACUCCAGAGGGUGUGGCCGCACAAUGAGUAGAAACCCUGCAAGCAGUUGCAGCAAAUACAUUGUAUCCUUAAUUGAAUAUUUAAUUGGAGUGGUGAGAGUAGGAUAAUUAACUUGCUCCGGCCCUUAUUGUCAAACAAAUUUGGUGUGACAGAAAAGACCUUUGUGGUAGGAUGCUAAGUAAUUUUAGGAUUUUUUACCAGUGUGAAUUUUGUUGUUCCCACAAGGAUAGUAGUUUGGUUGUGCAGAUCAUAUGACCAAGGAUGGCAUUAUAUGCACAGAGACUUUCUAGUUGCCAUUGGCCUAUGCUUUGGUAGUACUUAUAAUAUCAGAGGAAGGAAGGUGUGUGGAACGAGCCUGCCUUCAAGAGGGUGGAACUGAAAUUGGUAGCAAUUGCUACUAAUUUGGGUAAGUAUGCACUGAUCAACCCCACAUGUGCUCUAUCAAGUGAUCAACUGCCUAAUAGCUUAUCUAGAAGUAGCACCAAGUUUUUGUUAAACACAAAUGUAAUCGAGAUUAGAUUAGAUUUAAAAAAAGUGAAAGUCAAAAUGGAAUACUUGGAAAAAUGUGUUGUCAUUGCAUAUUUCAUUGGAGGAUGUCCUCUGACUAGGGUGAUACAAGAUUGGUUAGAACAAUUACAAACCAAGAUAAGGCUGUAUAUGCACCACACACUUGGUAUGCAAGUGCAAUGCAACCUAAAAUUCAAAACAAUUGGCAACUAGAGGAGCACAUGCACAAAUUAAAUCACCAUCUAUCAAUCAGAAUGUAAUUGAGAAAGGCAGGACCUCCAACAAUAAGCAUCAAAAUGAUCUAGUGACAUCAACAACCUACCUACUGCUUAAUGUAAAUGUUGUAUCAACACCCCUGGCAGAGACACCAAUGUUGGGCUUUAUUACCACCCAAGGCAAUUCAACAAGGAGCAGCAUACAAAACCAAGGUAAAAAAGAAAAAAAACACACACACAAUAAUAAUAGUAUUCAAAAGCAAAGCGACAAAGUAAAUCUUCUUAACUUAAAUUAAAGAAGCCUUGAAUAGGCAAUAUGGCAGAAUCAUGAGCAACACCGAGGGUUGGAGUCACUACCAAAUACAAGAGAAUUCUUGCAUAUUCAUGAUUUUAAUGAAGCACUUAACAAGCAGACUGCAAGGCAAGAUGAAAAUGCAAAAGUUACUUAACAUAAACAAGUGCUCACCAUCAAGAUAAUGAAGAAUCUUGAAUUAAAUUGAUUAUUGAGCAAGUCAAUUUUAAAAAAGAAUCAAUGCUUAUCUAUAUGAAGACACCACCAAUCCCUCUAACUUACUCAAUAGCGAGAAGAUAGACAACCACUCCUAUGAGCAUUGAAAGAAACCGAUAAAUGUCAAAAGGUCCUUCUUGGACAUACUGAAUUAUUAGUAUGAGAGUGCUAAUCCAAAAGAUGCAUGGGCUUUAUGAUUCUAAUAAAUUUAAGGUUGUACAAAACUAUCUAUGACAUUAUUUGUCAAAAGCAAAUACCAUAUGUGUGUAAGAGUAUAAGUUCAGAGGAGCAAAAUUUGUAGAGUUAGAAAACUUUAUAUAGUAGGUGCAGAGUUUUUAGGCCAACAACCAUGCAAUUCAUAAUAUAGAGGUGGGCAGCAAAGACAUAGGAAUGUGGAUCUCUUCUCGCUUUACACACUAGGUCGGCCACUCUCAAUUGAGUAAGGCAUAAUGAACUUAACUGAAGGAGGUAGACAACUCUGUUAUAUUGAUAUUAAAUAUUUAUGCCUUACAUUUUGUAUGAGAGAAGAUGGAGUUGUGGUACAAACUACUUAACAUCUUAGCAAAGAAUCAUAAAUAGAUUGUUUCAUAGUAUUAUAAUUUUGUCAAAAGGAGUUGCAAUAAAACAAACUUUCAAAGCCAUAAAAUGUUAAUAAGAUAUUAAAAUUUUAUCAUAGCUCUAUAUAUCCAUCUUUAGCAUAAAUAUAAAGUCUUGGCUCCCAAAAACUCCUUUAUUUUGCAUAAAAUGCUCAAAUUAUAUCAAAAUCCCUUCAAUUUAUUUUUUUUCUACAAAUGAUUUUUUGUUUUUCAAACUUUACAAUUUCAUAUCUCUUGAUUCAACUAGUCGAUUUUUUCUCAAAUUUCUAGAUAAUUGAGAAUUUAUUCUUAAUAUUUACUAAAAAAAGAAUGAACUAUAAAUUUACUAUAAAUUAUCUCGUAUCUUAGAAACCCUAGCAAGUACUCUAAAUUCCAAUUUAUAAGUACCUAAGUACUACUUUCUUCAUAUUUCAAAAAUUAAAAAUUCAAACAGUAUAAAAAUUUGUAUAUAACUUAAUAAUACAAUAAUAUACAUUUUUGAAACUUUUGAGCCAAAAUCUUAUCAAAUUGCUUGAGAUAUAGCUCAAAAUAUAACCACUAAUAAAUUAGAUCAUUUACAGCCCUUAGAUUCCAUGUAUUGACUUCAACUUCUAAUAUCUCCUUCAUUUUAAUCUAGAAUUUAUCAAAACAAUAUAUGUAAAAUAUAGCUAAGUGUUUUAUUUAAUCUCAAUUGUCAAUCCUUCAUUGCUUUGUGUAUAUGUGCGUUAUAUUCCAAAGAGUGACAAUAGGUACAAAAUCAAUACCUUGACUUUGAGCACCUAUAUCUCCUUUACAAAAACUCCAAAUCACAGAAAAUUUGCACCAAAAAUAAUUAUAUAGCUUAUCAUACUAAGCUUAGCUCAACUCAAGUACAACCAAGGAUGCAAUACAAUAAGUCAUAUGAAGAUUAAAUAAUUGGCUUAUCCUAGAAGAGAAGGAUAAUUUGAGCCGACCUCUAUCAUUCAAAGAAAUUACAGUAGCCUUGAAUGAAAUGAAAGAGGAGGGGGAAAUAAAUCCUUUGGACUCAAUGGAAUGAUUUUUUGAAUUUUAUAUAAUAUUUUGAAAUAUUAUAGGUCCAUAAUUUCUAAUUAUAUUAUGAGAAAGUAUUUACAAAAAAAGGCUUCUUCUUGGAGUAACAUAAGAUCUUAUUGCUUUAUUGUAUAAAAGAAGAAUAAAGCAAGACCUCACAAAUUAAUGGCCAAUCAUCUUCUUUAAUAUUAGUUACAAAAUUUAUACAAAAUUUAUGUAAUUAAGGCUUCAAUUAAUUUUAAUGAAUAUUAUUAGUAUGAAACAAUUGACUUUUUCAUCUAAUUAUUUUAUCAUAGAUAAUCUAUUAUUAAUACAUGAAACUAUGGCAUGAGUAGAGAAGUCAAAGUAAUCACUUUUCUUUUUAAAACUUGACUUUUUUAAAGCAUAUGACAUGGUUGAUUGGAAUUUUUUUUUUUUUUUUUUUUAUGCAAUGGAAUCAGAUGGAUUAUCAAGGAAGUUUAAUCAAAUGAUUAAGCUACUAUUCAUCAAUACAAAGGCAUGCAUGAAGAUAAAUGGUAUACUUUUUGAGCCUUUCAAGGUUGAAAAAAGAAUAAGAUAAGGUUAUUUACUUGUUCCAUAAUUAUUCUUUAUAUUAGCAAAAUUUUUAAAUACAAUAGUCAUGAAUGAUAGAGGAGUAGGAUUAAUAAAAGGUAUACAACUACCUAUAGCCUAGAAACAACAAAUUAUAACUUAAUAUAUUAAUGUCACAUCUUUGAUAUUGAGAAAAAAAAGAUUGUAAUGUAAAAAGAGCUAUUUAUAUACUUAAGACAUUUUAUUUGGAAUGAAGACUUAUUUUGAAUUAGACUAAAUCAAAAAAUUAUUGAAAAAGUACACAUUCACUUGUUAGACCACCUUAAAUUAAUAAAAUAGAUAUUGCAUGGGCUAAUGAAAUUGAUCUAAAUAAAUUAUUGGAAGUACCAUUUGACCUAUUUCUUAAUUCCAAUGACUUUGAUUCCUUCUUACAAAGAAAAUUUGAUAAAAAAAACUAAGUCAUUGAUACUUUAUAAUGAUCAAUGCCAUUGGAAGAGGAAUAAUUGUCAAUAAUGUACUUUUAUCAACUAUGUUUUAUUUUAAGUCAUUAUAAAAAGAAAUAAAAAUAAAAAUAAAAUGCCUUUGAAAGAUUAAAGUCUUUCUUAAUAAUUACCUUACAAGAAGAACCAUGCAUUAAACUCAUACUAAAAUGGCAUGAUUACAAUGUUACUAAUCAUUCCAUAAAUGUGGUAUUAACCUUAUUAACCCAUGAAAUGCAAUAGUGGCAUUGUUAGAUAAAUGGAUUGUGAAAGCCAUAGAACUAUCAGAGUCUGAUUUACACUUCAUGCUACGAUAUCAUCUUAAUAAAUUCCAACCAUAUGCUAAAGGGAAGUGGCAACCAAGUAGAGGUUUUUGGUUAUUGUUCAAAAAGAAACAUGUGCUAUGGAAUGUAAUUGUUAGAAAGUGGAAAGGCAUCUUAUUGUAAGGCUUCAAACUUAAAUGGGUCAACAUCUCAGAUAUUAGGUGUGAGCCAUUGAAUUGACUUACUUUGAUAUUUAGUAUAAAAAAUGUACUUAUUGUGCUUAAAAUACAAAUUUUAUGAGUUAAUAUUAGAAUUUUAGGAAAAAAUGGAAAAUAAAUUGCUAGUAGCAGACAUGCAAUCUAAGAUAGAAUUUAGUAAGAAGAAACUAUAAAAACUAUAUUUUUCUAGUUAGCUAAUAGUAGAGGAAUUACAAGGAAGUAAUCUUGGUGUCAAAAAAGAAAAGAAAAGAAAAAAAUCUAGUGAGGUUUAAUUAUGAUGGGUUUGAAGUUUUUUUUUCCAAAUUCAAUAAAUUCAAGGGGCAAAGUGAUUCUUCAAAUUUAUGGAAGCCUUCAAAUGCAAUAGAUGCAUCAAAUGCACCUUGAGGAGUGAAGAAAACAAGAUCAACACCCUUUCCUUCAAAGUACAAGUAGAGAAAUGAAAUUCUCAUUUUUUGAAGAAUUUUAUAAAUAUUGCCUAAAUCCUUGUAAGUUAAAAAAAAACCUUCAUAAAAGUUGCAAAGGAGCAUAGAUUGAUGCAUGUGAGUAGUCAAUAUUAGCAUAAAAAAUUGUUUUAAACACAUUGUUUAAGUUAGAUUUAUCGAAAAGCAUUUUUUUUUUCCACUUAUGAGAGCCAUCAGCCUUAGUUACGAAAUUGGCUUUUUGAUGAAGGAAGGCCAUAGAUCUACAUUAAGGAUCUUAGAGGUCAAGGGUGGAGAUGUGGCUGCCCUUCCACAAGCCACCACUCAAUUGUAUAAGAGUAGUUUGGUUUCCCAAGCCUCUUUCCAUCUCUUUCCUUUUUGAUGAAGGCAAAGCCAUGCCAAAGUGUGGUCUCAACCCUAAUCCUAAUCUUAAUUUUCUGCUUCUUUCUUGAGCUUAGAUCUCAUUUUGAACUUUAGGAACAUAUGAGCAUUGAUUUUGCAUCGUGGGUGGUUUAAAACUUUGCAAUUAGUGGUCACUAACCAUUUUUAUAGUCAAAAGGGUUUGAGGGACCUCAGAUUUUCCUCAAUCAAUUUGUGGUUUUUUAUGAUUUGUAAGCAAAUAUUUUUUUCAUCACAUAGCCCUUGUUAUUAGCUUUUCAACGAGCUAAGGCCUUCUCAAUUUGGAGUUGAACCAAAAUUUUGGUGAAUUUUUGAGUAUAAGGGGGCGGCUGCCUUGGCAAUUUCAAUAACCCAACUUUGAAAAGACAUUCCUCAGUGCCAAUUAAUGGGAUUAUUUUGAAAUUUUGGGAGUACAAGAAUCUUCAAGCUGAGCUUCCAUUGGCAUAAAUUGUAUUAAAUUUGAAGCAAUUGUGAAUUUUUAACAAAGUUUUGAGUGAAGGGGGGACGGCUGCAGCAGUAGGCCCAAUGACCCAACUUUGAAGAAGCAUUGCUCAUAGCUCACGUACUAUUUUACCACGAAAAUUUUGGAGCAGGAGCCCCUUGAAGUUAAAUUUCCAAUACAACAAAAAUCAUUAGACCUAAUUUGGAUUUUUUGCGAAUUUUGGAAUAAAUGAGGUGCUUCCCUCAGUCCUUGGGCGUUGUCAAGGUACUUGCACUUGUACCUCUCUUUAUUUAUUUUUUUCUUUUAUUUUAUUUUAUGUUAUUUUUUUCAGUAACUUGUAACUUCUACAUUCACUUUUGGCUUUAAUUUUUAACUUUUAAUGUUCUCUCUUUUACUUUUUUAAACUUUUAAUUUUACUUUUACUUUUUAAAAUUUACUUUUAACUUUUAACUUUUAAUCCAACGUUAAAAAAUUUACAAUUACUAUGGAUUAAGGAUAAUUACUUAAUUAAUUACUUUUACCAUCGAUUAAUUAUGAAGUAAAAAUUUACACAAUUUUUUAAAAAUAAUAAAAUAAUAAAAUAAUAAAAAGUAAUAAAAAUGACCUAAUAAAAUAAUAAUAAUAAUAAUAAUAAUAAUAAAAUAAAAAAUUAAAUCAAAUUAUCUAAUUAGAAGUAGAAGAAGGAACUGUUUUGUAUGAAGUUAAGGAGUGAAUUAUCAUUGUGAAUGUGAGUAAUGUUAGAGGAUUUGAUUAAUAACUUGGUGUUUUAAGAAGGACAAGUAAUAAAUGGAUUAGAAUUUAAAUAAUAGCAUUAUGUUAAAUUCAUAUAGUUAAUUCACUUAUUAUGAGUUAGAAUAAACUUCCAAUUAGUGGAAGUUUAUUGUAGCUCACACUACGAUAGCUCAAAAAGAAGCAGGCCUUACAUGAUUAACCUGGCACAAGGCAGUUGCAAUUAACUUGUGACGUAGGGGAGUCAAAGAUGUUGAUGAGUGUUGCCAUGUUUGUUUGAAUGAAUCACAUGAAACAGUGUUGCACAGAUUUUGGGAAUGUAUAUAUGUAUUAUUUUUUAAUAUAUAUAUAUAUAUAUAUAUAUAUAUAUAUAUUAGCAUCUAUUGUUUCAUAUAAUGGUUUAAGUUUAAGUUUUAUUUUUUUCUCUCUCUUCAAAUCUGCUCUUGGCAAUUGGAAUUUGUUUCAAUAUCCCCAAUUGCAUAUCCUACCCAUUGAAUUCACACUUAGUCAAUUGGCACAAGUUCCAAAAUAGACUCUAAUAAUAUUUCAUUAGCUCCAUGAACCAUUUAUACUUUCUCUACUUAUAAUCAGUUAUGUUUGAAUGUGUUAUUUACUUAUUUAUUUACUUUGAUAACACCAAUCAAAUAUUGGCUGCUAAAACAUUUCUAAAAAAAUUCAACCAAUUUUUCUUUGAAGAUACUCAUACACACAUGUGUAUAUUUGAAUAAUUUCACAGACAUUUAAAAAAAAGAAAAAAAAAGAAACAUGAGAUCUUUCUAGCCAGAGCCCUGCACUGCUCAUUACAAUGUUGCUCUCCCUAUCACACUUCAGUAUCCUAUUCUUCCUUUUCACUCCAGACUUGUUAUUAUGUGAUUAUUGGAUUCUAUCACCAGUAAUAACAAUGUUAGCUGUUUAGAGUGCAUGUGGCUCACAUUUACUCCAUCAAUUCCUAUCAAUCUGAACCCUAAAACCCUAAAGCGUUUUUUUCUUUAUUGGUAGGGAAAUGAGUAAAUCUACAUACAUUCAUUCACAUGUUCUUAAUGCACUUAAGAACAUGUGAAUGAAUUAAGUAUCAGUUUUCAUGCUGAUUCACCUCUAUUAAUAGGGCUCAUGGUUUUCAGUGCACAUAGAAUAUGCCAUGUCAGCAUGAUUUAUAUAUUAUUUUUCUUGACUGAAAGGAUGAUCCUGCAACCAAUGGACAGUUUCUUGAAUGGACCCACCAACUAUCUGUGGCAUCGUAAACCCUAAACCUUAGACUGCAAUGACCCAGCACAGACACAGUCUGCCAUGUUGACAAGAGAAAAAGGAUCUUUGAAGUUUUUUUUCUUGUUUUUGAUCAACCAGACAAGUCAAUGACACAGGCUAGAAAUCAUUGAAACAGUGCAUAGUUCACAGCACCAGAAUUACAGAAGUGGGUACUCCAAGUGUGAUUAUCAUAGAGUCUGCAAAAGAGAACACACAAAAAAAAGUACUGACAAAAAGUAAGACAUGGUCUGUGCCUCUGGACCCUGACAGUGCUCACACUUGCUUUGGUUGUUGGGCACACAGCAUUGAGGUUCUUCAAGUUCCCCAUGAUGUUCUCUUAGGGUUUGCGUGGGAAGGAACAAAUUUCCCCAUAAAAUAAAAAGGUACAAUGACUACGGCACAGGAGUUCAGUACAAUUGUCAAAUGGGCAAGGGAAAAAAUAAAAUGAAAAAAAAAGGAAAGAGCCAAAAAGAAAAACUGUUUGCAGCCAAACUCCAUGCCCUUGGACUAACACUAUCUUCCAUACACGUGAUUUUGUUUCAACAUAUUAUUAUUAUUGGAAUUAUGUCCUUUACAUAUCAAGUAUUGCUUCCAAUAUUCUAUUUUUGAAAAUGUUUCAAUUGUUUGUAUGUUUACACAAAUUUUCCAAUGAGUGGAGAAAAUGAAAGAGAAUGUGUUCUUUUUUCCCAUAAAGUAUGAACAUGGUUAUUUCCUAAAAUAUACAUUAGGAACUUCUCAAGAAGUAGUGUUCAUAGAAAUUUAAAAUCACAUUUCAGAAAUCCCAAAAGAUACUCAUAGUUGUUUUAAAUAAUUAUGUUAUGAUAUUUGCCAAACAUUUUAAAAUCAAAGUAUGAGUUGCCUUAUUUUGAAAGUUAUAUAUUUUUAAAAAAAAAAAUUAUGACUUCUUGUUACUCUAUAAUAUCUCUUAAAGCAAAGGCCUCAAAUGAACAAGUUCAGUAAGCAAUAUAUGAGAUUUUUAUAAAAUUUCUGGACCACAACCUUUUAAAGUAGCUUCUAGGUAUAAAUACCCCAUAGAUUGAGUUUUGCAUGUGACUAUGAGUUGCAAGAAUGUUAGAGAUUUAAAAAAAAAAAAAAAAAAAAAAAAAACUAAGUGAACAUUAAGUAUUUAUUUUAGAUAACGUUAAACUUAUAAAAUAAUACUUUAAAACAAAAAAAAAACAUAUACAUACUCGCACGCACACACACACACACACACACAUAUAUAUAUAUAUAUAUAUAUAUAUACUACACGUAUCAUAUAUAAAAGCUUUAAACAAAAUUUAAUCAAGUAGAGCAAUAUAUAUAUAUUGAGUAGGUAUUACUUGAAUUAUAAUAUUUAUUUAUUUAUUUAUCCAUUUUACUUUAUAAUUGAUAUAAAUAUGGCAUUAUUAGAUGUAAAUUUAAACACAAUCUGUGAGGAAAAGAUAAAAAUUAAUAAAAAUAUAAUAUUGAAAUUAAAAAAUUAUCUAUUAGAAAUACAAUUUGAAAUAUAUGUAUGUGUGUAUGUGCGUGUAUAUAUAUAUAUAUAUAUAUACAUGUGUAAAAGUUUCAAAAACAUAGUAGAAAAUACUUCUUGUGUCAAAACAUAGUUUAACAAUUAAUUGACUUUUACAACAUUUAAGAAGGCUUGUAAACCACAAUUUAUACAAGUUUAAAAGUUAUUUUCAGUAGAUGAAAGAUGGUAUUAAUUUUAAAUCCAAUAAUUUUAAUUGUAUUGCUAAAAUUUUAUUUUUGGUACUUAUAUUGACUUACUAUACAAUGUAUUUUAGAGAAUCUUAAGACAUUCAAAGACAAAUAAUCAACAAUCCUAAAUCAGUAUAAGAAUUCUUUAGAAACAAAUUACAAACAGUUGAAUACCAAAGCUUCUAUUUUUUUCAAUAAAAUAUAUAUGGUAAUUAAAUAAAUUUAGUGAAUUAUUUGUAUAUUAUCAAUAACUUCAAAAAAAACAAAUAUCAAAAAUAUUAAAAUCUGUAAUAAAAUAUUAUACAAAAAAUAUCUUGUAACCCUACAUUCUGUAUUCAUGACAAGUGCUUUGCACAAUUCUAUAUCUUAAAAGGACUAAUUUGACUUAUUAAAUUAUAGUGACUUGCAAAAAAGAACCAAUAUUUUGACAUUUAUACAUAAAAAGAAAAGAAAAGAAAAUAAAAAGUUUCAUACUUUAAAUGUUUUAUACAAUUUUCUAGAAUGGCUAUACUUCUGGAUUUUAAAAUUUGUAAGUAGAUUUUUAUUUUAAAAAAUUAUAGUAAUUUUAUAAUAAAUAUCAAAUCGGUAUUUAUUUGUUAAUAUUUUAUUUAUUAUCAAUAUUUAUGCUUCUGCAGAAGAAAGCAAAGGUGUGAGCAUCAAAUAGUAUGCAAUAAAAUGCGAAGAGUGACCAAUAUUAUAUAAAAGUAAUAAGUAGUUAUAAGUAAGCUUUUAAAAAAAUAUAACUUAUAUGAUUGAAUUAAAUAAUUAUAAGCAGAAAGAUUUUAAAUAUGUAUUUCAUUUUGUCACUAAAAAGAUUUUUUUUAUAAAAGUAGGUUAUAUGUUUACAAAGGUUCUACCUUAUAUUGUAGUUAUAGAAAAAUGUGUUAUGUUUUUAGUCUACAAAAAACCAAAUUAAAAAAAAAAAAAAAAAAAAAACCCCUUUGGAGUCCAAAACGUGCAUGAUAUUGUAAUUAUUUAAGGUAGUAAUUAGAACAAGUAUUAAUAAUCAACACAAUCAACCUUCUAUAAAUAAUAAAAAAUAAAUUAUUUUUAUUAUGUAUAUAGUUUAUUUUUAAUUAAUUAAAUAAGUAUUCUUUUUAUAAGAUCAAAAAACAUAUAUUAGAAUAAAUUGUUGAUAAUUAAUAAAUGAGUCUUAUUAAUAGAUAACAGAAAAUUGAAGAUAAUUAUGUAUAUUGGAUGUAAAAGUUUAGUAAAUCCAAUGAUGUAGUAGACAUUUAUAAGCACUAUCAAUAUAUAUAUAUAUAUAUAUGUAUUACUUUGCAGCUUUUGUUUCAAGAUUGUAGCAAACAACAAUAGAAUAGCUGAUGGAUGCAUGGUUAUUUUAAUAGUAAAAAAAUCUUUUUCAGUAUAUUACAUACUUUACUCAUUUAUGUCAAUCAUUUUGAAUACACACAAUUUUGUUUUUCUAUAAAGAUUAAUAAGACAAUUUAAAAAGAUAUAGGAUAUUUGAAUCUACAAAACUAUAUAACAAGCAUAAAAUAUUUAUAAUAGUGCACACUUAUAAAAUUAGAAUAUCUCAUAUGAUUAGAAUUUUUUUAAUAAAAUAAUUAAGUGAUAAUAUACAUAUAUAUAUAUAUAUAUAUAUUAAAGACAAUGGUGUUUGUGUGUGUGCACCUAUUCAAAGGCAUUACAUCUCUUGAUGAAUCCAUCUACAAAGUCAUCUAGAAUAAUUAGUUGAUUCAUACUUCAAUUGUCUUAAUAAACAAGAAAGGUUUAGACUGACUCAACAUCUAAGAUUGAUACCAAGAGCUAUACAUCAUGAGUUUUAACUAUAUAUUGUGUGUCUACUUUGUAAGAGACACAUGGCAUUUGGUUUAAUUCAUUUUUGUUGUUGUGAUGCUAUUUAAAAAAAAUGUAUAUCUAUUCCAAUUAAUUUCCACCUUCUCUACAAGCAUUUGGGAUAGUAUUGCUUUAUACUAUUCAUGAGGCAAAUGAAUGAACUCUAAUAAUAGUACAUGUAUAAAUGUGGAUGUUGUAAAUGCCACCAUAGUUUUUGCUACUACUAUUGCAAUCUAUCAUCCACCAUAUGUCACCACAAUUUUUUCUAUUACUACCACAAUUUUAUUUUUAUUUAUUUAUUAAAUAAAGAUCAAAUUUACUAUGUAAAAAAAUUUAAGUAUACAUACAUACAUACAUAUUAGAAAUUUUAAAAAAUAUAUAAAGUGGGUGAUGACAGUAGCAGAAAUUGUGAUGACGAGAUUGAUGAUAAAUUGUAGAUAAUAACAACAAUUAUGGUGGCAUUACCAACGCCCAUAAAUAUACACACAUGGAUUACCUUGUGUCAUCUAGUGGAUGAAUAAUGACAUAAAAGUAUCAUCCUUUCCCUCAUUCCCUGUUUGUUUUCACAGCAUAUGUCAAGCUCCGGCUUAUCCACAUACUCAUCAGUUCCCACAAUCUCACUGGUUCCUACAAACUCACCAAUUCUUUGAAAUCAAUAUCGAGUAUUAGGGUUACGUGGUUCGGGAGCAUGCGAAGCUAGGGUUCGGGGGCUCUAAAAGCAGAUCUUUUCUAUCUGUGCGCAUUGAAUUUCUUUCUCUGACUUACGCGUGAAGUUUUGUGGGCGAGCAGAACAUCGGGGUGAGACGGACAUUGGGAAGGCAGGGCAUGGUGGGGAUGAAAACUCACUAAAACGAGCGAGCGAUCGAGAUGGAUGCGCAGGUGGGAUCCGUAGGCGAUCAGCGCAGCUCUGUUGCGGAAUCUUCGAACGAAUUGGGCGAAGAUUCUAGGGUUGCCAAGGAUGGCUCAGAAGAUGUCAUCGCGCAAGGACUUGCUGCUGUGUUGGGUCCCGUGGUGCGGGAAUUUGAUGCAAGGGUAGAAGGAGCUCUCAAGAGCCAGAGCUUGCUAACCGGGAGCAUUGAUCGUCUCACCAAAGGUAUGGUAUCUGAGAAUGGUUGGCCGAAGGAGGAGUUCUGUCUGGAUGAAGCGGUUUUGCUAAGUGUGUGUCAGGUGGGGUUACUGGGUGAAAGAAAUGGAAUUCGGUACAUUUUCCGAUUUUCGUUGACAUGUAUCUUGUUGGUAUUGUAUUUUAUUUUUAUUUUUUUUCAGAGCUAGAUAAGCUGUUAGAAGAUACCCCUAUUCCAACGGUAGCACAACACGCUGC
Molecule: long non-coding RNA, 29688 nt
Filed under: Physcomitrium patens
Lineage: Eukaryota; Viridiplantae; Streptophyta; Bryopsida; Funariales; Funariaceae
Description: long non-coding RNA (PPAT_LNC008975)
Source: RNAcentral